Molecule: ribosomal RNA, 761 nt
Filed under: Pullenia subcarinata
Lineage: Eukaryota; Foraminifera; Rotaliida; Nonionidae
Description: SSU rRNA
Rfam family: Eukaryotic small subunit ribosomal RNA
Source: RNAcentral
CACUGAGGAUUGACAGGCAAUAUUAGUACGUCAGUUCGCUGUGUAUUAUGUUAAAUAUGCUAGUCCUUUCAUGAUUAUGUGAUAGGUGGUGCAUGGCCGUUCUUAGUUCGUGGAGUGAUCUGUCUGCUUAAUUGCGUUUCACUAAGGGCCUAUAAUUUUACGUGUGUUACAGCACUUUGACCCCUCAGCAAUGAGCGCGCGUCUUAGUUUGCUUGCUCGCACAAUUAGGUCCUGAAAGCAACGAACGUGACCGCAACCUCUUGUUGCCUUUAUACCAAACAUGUUUUGUUUAUGUCUUCAUAGAUAUUCAUGAAAAAAGGCUUUUAAACUAGAGGGACCGCUGUUACUUUCUUAAACCAGAGGAAGGUUGCGGCAAUAACAGGUCUGUGAUGCCCCUAGAUGUUCCGGGCUGCACACGUGCUACAAUGAUUAUUGCAGUGAGCAUCUCAUUUUUACACACCGCAUGCGCGAGUCUAUUUAUUCGUGUUCGCACGUUUUAAAUAUGUAUUUCUGCGCGCGGUAAAGCCUGCUUCGAAAGUAAGUGGGUAAUCAAUUAGAAGUAAUGAUUUCCUUUUUUUAGCACACAUAUAUACGGCGUCUAUGCCCGGGCUGCCUUGUUGUAGCUUUUGUGCGUAUAGAUGUUUUUUCCGUAUGUGCGAUUGUCGAUUCAUGGUGGGGACAGACCAUUGUUAAUUGUUGGUCUCGGUCUUAACUAGGAAUGCCUUGUACGGGUCUUGGUUCAACAAACCACCCGGAAUACG